RNAcentral lists this long non-coding RNA (200 nucleotides) under Ananas comosus (pineapple). Its description in RNAcentral is "long non-coding RNA (ACOM_LNC038370)". Lineage: Eukaryota; Viridiplantae; Streptophyta; Magnoliopsida; Poales; Bromeliaceae. The record is from RNAcentral.
UAGCCGAUCCCGAUGCCGCCUGUGGUACGAUCGCUGGCGGUGGGCGCGCCGUCACCGGAACCGCCGCUAUGCCCUCACCCUCUGCCGCUCCAGGUACGUGAGUCGAGGGUGCGGGCGGGCCACCGCCUUCAUUUGCCGUCGCAGCCGCCGCCGUGAUCUGCCGCUCCAAUAGAUCCUGGAGCCGCUCAAAUCGGGUCUCC